This 300-nucleotide ribosomal RNA is filed under the name uncultured Lactobacillus sp. RNAcentral describes it as "bacterial SSU rRNA". It matches the Rfam family "Bacterial small subunit ribosomal RNA", at positions 495 to 795 of the family's 1533-position model. The record is from RNAcentral. Lineage: Bacteria; Bacillati; Bacillota; Bacilli; Lactobacillales; Lactobacillaceae.
GGUAGGUCGGGUGCAGCGGCCGCGGGAAGCCGUGGGUGGCAAGGGUUGUCCGGGUUCAAUGGGCGUAAAGCGCGAGCAGGCGGUGUUGUGCGUCUGGGGUGAAAACCCGGGGCUCAACCGUGGGACUGCCUUGGAUACGGGAAGACUUGAGGAUCGGAGAGGGAAGGGGAAUUCCACGUGUAGCGGUGAAAUGCGUAGAGAUGUGGAGGAACACCUGUGGCGAAGGCGCCUUGCUGGCCGAUUUCUGACGCUGAGGCGCGAAAGCGUGGGGAGCAAACAGGAUUAGAUACCCUAGUAGUC